This 2490-nucleotide long non-coding RNA is filed under the name Mytilus galloprovincialis (Mediterranean mussel). Lineage: Eukaryota; Metazoa; Mollusca; Bivalvia; Mytilida; Mytilidae. The record is from RNAcentral.
AUUGUUGAUGAGAUUGCAAGAAAAUACUUUUCAAGUUUGUGUUUAUCUUUAUUAAUGUUUAUAAGCUUUUCAGCAGAAUUUGUUAGUUGUUAAAUAGAUUUUUUAUUUGUGUGGUUGUAAGUUUCAUGUGUAUUACAGGUAGAAUGAAGAACUGCUUUUAUAUCUUUACUGCUCACAGACAUUUCUCCUUAAUAGUGUUAAAAAUAUUGUGUUCUAAAUCAUCUUUUCUCUUUUUUUCUAUAUUUUUUUUUAAAUCUCUCAUUGGUGGAAAUCAUAUUAAUAAUUUAAACGUCUUUGAUGAUCUCAGAAAUUUAAUGAUAUACUGGUAAGAAAAUUUCUUUGGGUUGAAAAAGUCUGUAAUUCACAUCAAUUGGGGUACAUUUGUCUGCUAUUUUUGGCAAAUUGUUAGAUUUCAGAUGUGGAAACAUUGAAUUCCUCUAGUCACAAUUUAGGCAGCUUUUACAUAACAGUUACUGUCACUUUGGUUUGGUUUCAGAUACUUAAUAAAUUUUACUCUGAUAACAAAUAUUGAACAGCUAUUAAUUAAAAUUCCAUGAAUUAUAUGUUUCAAUAACUAUAACAAUCUUCUUAUUUGUAAAAAUUUCUUUUUUUCUGAACCCCACCUAUCCUUCACUUUUUGUCAGCUCGGUGCAAUAAUCAAAUUAUCUAUUUGUACUCCUAGUGUGUAUUCAAGAGUGUGGUGAGAGAUUGUUGAAUUUUAUGUUGCCAUUGGUUGCCUUAUUGUUAUUUUUUUAUUUGUUUUACAGAUCAGUAAACAUACUGAACUUUGACAUAUAUUUUACAUUUCUUUCAUUCAUUUAAAAAAAAUCAUAUGUGUAUCUCAUUGAAUCUCAGUGUUCUAAUUGGUGUAGAAUGUGAAUUUUAAAUGCAGUUGUUUUAUACCCUGAUGAAGGACAAGUGUGUGAAAGGCAUGGUCUUACAUGACAGUGAUGUUAUUAUUGGCGAUUACCAAGGAAUGAAUGGCUUCAGAAGGGUUUCAUUUUUAGUCGAGAUUGGGUUUUCAUGCAAGUAAUAAUGUAUUAAAAAACGAAAUUAUGGAACACUAAAAAAAGGAUGAGAAAAGUUAUCAAUUUCUGCCUGUCUUUAUCAUUUUCUCUUCCUUUGGUCAGCAUUUGUAUAUUAGCAAUAUAUUGAAAUACUGCUUGCAAUCUAUCCUUGAUCUCAAGCAGCUUCUAUAGAGUUAUAAUUUUAUAUAAUACAGAUAUAAAAUGUUAAACUGUAAAAUGAAUUGUCAUAUAUAUAUAUAUAGUAUUUGCUCUGCUUCUGAUUGCAAAAAAAUAUAUAUAUCCUCAUACUGCCAGAGGACACACAUUUUUCUCUAAACGUUUAGGUACCGGGUACAUUAUUUUAUGUCCAUGAUAUAUUGUGGCCUACAGCAAGGUGCUCUAAUUUACAUUCCAUAGUAUUUGUUAUUUUGUUAUUGAUUUCAUAUUUAAUGUCCAUUUACUAGAUCAGACAGUUUGUAAACUAAAAUUAGUUAAAGCCAUCUUUUUUAUAUUGCCUAUCAUUAGGAUCAUCAUACGGUUUAGGAUAUUUAAUGAAAAUUGUGAUUUCUGCAUAAGCAAUAGUUUAAAUCAUGUCUCUUAACAGAAAAUGCAUUUAAUCACAUAAACAAUAUGAAUUUUCUUUAAUGAAUAUUAAUAUAUUUUGAGGAUAAUUUGUUGUGCAGCUUUCUAAAUUUUCUUCUUUUUUGUCUAACCUUCGACUUUUGUUGAAAAAGUGAGACUCUGCUGUUUGAUGUUGAUAAGUUACUUCAUAUAUAAAUUCUAUAAAUUAUAAUUCUUAAGGACUUUCUGUUUAGAAUUUUCCUUGGAGUUCUGUAUUUUUGUAAUUUUACUUUUUGUCAGAGUUUUACUUUUUUUAUAGUUUUUGUUAGAUUGUUAGGGUAUUUGUAGAUAUUUUUUGAUAUUGUAGCUGAAAAUGUUAUUUGGGUGUUAAAUAUUUGAGGAUUAAUUUUAUUGAAAUAUAAUUAUUUAGUAAAUGUGUACAUUUUAAAAUGAAUUGUUGCAUUUUCUCAUGCUUCGGCCGGUACAUUGUACUAGUCUUAAAAUAAUACCAUGAACACAUUGACACAACCCUAUAAACACAUAAAAUUAUAAACACAAAAAAAAUUGAGAUUGAUAAAAUUUUAUGUAUUGUUUUCCAAAAACCAUUACUAAAAAUACCUUAUCUAUCCCAACAGAUUUUCUAAUACAGGUUAUGAUGGGCCAACAGGAUUUUUUUUUCACAGUGUGACUAUUAUAAAAAGAGAGUGUACUUAACGAUAAAAGACAUAGUCCCAGGAAUGCAUAAUUUUGAAUUAUUUUGUAAUUCUUUUAUAAGUAAAGUGACAUAAUAGAUUUUAUCUAAAGAAAAUUUAGGACAUACCAUUAUUUCAACUUAGAAUUUGAUUUCUGAGAUAGUUAUGAACUUAUAUGAUACUUGUGGUUCACUGCUCAAGUUUUUAAAACCCAAUCUAUUAGAUUGACC